Molecule: ribosomal RNA, 258 nt
Filed under: uncultured bacterium
Lineage: Bacteria
Description: partial 16S ribosomal RNA
Rfam family: Bacterial small subunit ribosomal RNA
Source: RNAcentral
UACGUAGGGACCAAGCGUUGUCCGGAAUCAUUGGGCGUAAAGAGCGUGUAGGCGGCCUGUUAAGUCUUGCGUGAAAUCUCGGGGGCUCAACCCCCGAGCGGUCGUGAGAAACUGGCAGGCUAGAGUGCGGGAGAGGAGAGUGGAAUUCCUGGUGUAGCGGUGAAAAUGCGCAGAUAUCAGGAAGAACACCCGUGGCGAAGGCGGCUCUCUGGAACGCAACUGACGCUGAGACGCGAAAAGCGUGGGGGAGCAAACAGG